RNAcentral lists this ribosomal RNA (484 nucleotides) under uncultured bacterium. RNAcentral describes it as "partial 16S ribosomal RNA". It matches the Rfam family "Bacterial small subunit ribosomal RNA", at positions 28 to 523 of the family's 1533-position model. The record is from RNAcentral.
GAUGAACGCUGGCGGCGUGCUUAACACAUGCAAGUCGAACGGUGAAGCAGGAGCUUGCUCUUGUGGAUCAGUGGCGAACGGGUGAGUAACACGUGAGCAACCUGCCCCUGACUCUGGGAUAAGCGCUGGAAACGGCGUCUAAUACUGGAUAUGUGAUGUGACCGCAUGGUCUGCAUCUGGACAGAAUCUCGGUUGGGGAUGGGCUCGCGGCCUAUCAGCUUGUUGGUGAGGGAAUGGCUCACCAAGGCGUCGACGGGUAGCCGGCCUGAGAGGGUGACCGGCCACACUGGGACUGAGACACGGCCCAGACUCCUACGGGAGGCAGCAGUGGGGAAUAUUGCACAAUGGGCGGAAGCCUGAUGCAGCAACGCCGCGUGAGGGAUGACGGCCUUCGGGUUGUAAACCUCUUUUAGCAGGGAAGAAGCGGAAGUGACGGUACCUGCAGAAAAAGCACCGGCUAACUGCGUGCCAGCAGCCGCGGUAA